UCCGAGGAUUACACCGCGUAGCCUACUCGUUUUCAUUCAAUUGUGCCCUGAACAGGAAAAUCGCACAACCCCGAUCCGUAGCCAUUGCAAAUUGAUAGAGCCUUGUUCUGCUAAAUCCUUCAGAAAACAUCAUGGGAAAAGUAAUCCAGCCUUAUUUCUAAUCAGAUUACCAUCCUGGGUCUAAUUUCAGACGGAUCUUGAAACCAACUCGCAUUCUGGUGGCGAUCGCUGUCCCAGGUGCUGAAUUCCCCGCCUCCCUCGGUCUCAAUUGUAACCCUCAGCUCAGCGAGCUCAGACUAUUAACAACGCUUUAACGGGGAAAGACAGAGCGAGCUGGACUGACGUGAAUGUCAAGUAACAGCACGCUGGUGAACAAGACGAUUGUUCUAUUAAAUGGGAUUUCACAUUCCGUGGCUGUUUGAAGAAUGGAGACAAUUUCCCUGCCUGCCGUACCACUGUUUAUUCUGAGCUGUUUCAGCGUUGCUCAAGUCUUAGCCGACAGUUUGACGGCUCCUGUCAAUGUGACGAUCAGAGAGCUGAAGGCCAACUCCGGCGUGGUCACAUGGGACAUCCCAGAGGGGGACCCUGUCAUUGGAUUUGCCAUCACCCAGCAGAAGAAGGAUGUGCGCAUGCUACGCUUCAUCCAGGAAGUGAACACGACCACCCGUAGCUGUGCAUUAUGGGAUUUAGAGGAGGAGACCGACUACAUAGUGCAUGUGCAGUCCAUUGGUACAAACGGGCCCAGUCCUCUCAGCCAGCCAUUACUGUUCCGCACACCCGCAGAAGCUGAGACUCCUACAAGUAAAGACGAGGUUACCAUGGAGGAGGUGGGACAAGCCAAUCAGCUGAGGGCAGGGGAGAUCAUCAUCAUCGUAGUUGUACUCAUUAUGUGGGCAGGUGUGAUCGCUCUCUUUUGCCGUCAGUAUGAUAUAAUCAAAGACAACGAGCCCAACAACAACAAAGACAAAGCCAAGACCUCCUCCGAGUGUAGUACCCCUGAACACCCCUCAGGGGGGCUGUUGCGCAGUAAGGUAUAACCCUGCUCCCCUUCUACUACACUCCAAGGCCCCCCGAUGACACUGGGCAGUUCCCCAACAACAACUGCAACAACAACAAGAGGACGCCAUCUGUGCACAUCAUCGAGGUGUGACGGUCCCCAUCUCCUAACCGAAGGACUUCAAAGGAGUCUCCCGAACUUGGAUCGUAUGGCUCUCCUCCCUACACAGACCUUGCUCCUGAUGUGCCAGGCACUCUGGGAGCUGGCUCUGCCUUCGCUCCUGUCAGCUGUGUCUGGGGUUUGAAUGUGAGCCAAGGACAGCUCCUCAGGGACUGGCCACCAUGGGCCAGCGGCAAGCAGAGGGGGACACAAUGGUGGGUGGGGCAGACGCCCAGGGACCCUCUCUCUCUCUCUCGGUUGCAGAAGCGAGGAGAUAAGGCCCCCCAUCUUCUGAUGAACAUGUCCACAGAGCUGGAGAUUAGUUGGGGCGACAGAGACGCUUUUCUUUCUCGGCUCCUUAUCGAUGUGCACCCAGCCCCUUCUUGAGCCGUGGGUGAGGAGAGAAGACGGCGGCCAGAUGGCCUCUAGGUCCUUCUCUUCUCUCCUCCACGCCCUGGGUCUUUGGUUCUUCUGUAAAGAUUUCUUACCGCUGUGCAUCUUAACCGUUUCAGUGCAGGUUUAUCUCUCACACCGCACAUUUGCAAAACUGAGCAUGUUUCAACUACACUUCAUCUUCCGAAACACAAAGCCGCAAACCAGCAUUUUUCAAACUCGACAGCAACUCCCGAACAUGUUUGCAUCUCUGGUUGCCUCCUGCUCCGAUUUCUGUCCUCAGCAAUUUGCCAUUUAUUUGUUUCCCUGUUGUUUACGACACAGAACUGGCUGUGUAUUUUAAUUUAGAGGCCCCUUAGCCCCCAUGUAUCAUCACUGUUUUGAGGUUGAUAAAUUGAUAGAGAGAGGAGGGGAUAAAGUCAGAUCUGUAGAGAAAAUCGGCCAAGCAUCUGGACCAGGGCCAGGCAUGCUAGAGCAUCUGCACCAGUCUCAGUGAUUGGUAGGACUUCAGGGAGGCAUCUGUGGCUGAUCGCUCUCCUUUCCUCUCUCCCGCCUGCCUCGCAGGAUAGAUGACUAUUCCCUAAAGAACGCAGGGCUAAAUUUGGAACGGUUGAUAGUUACCUGCUGAGGACCCAGGCUGGAUCAAAGCAUGCCUCGGUGAAAACUCUCAUGGUCGCUCUUUCUCUGACUGAUGGGGUGUUAUGAUCUUUGGUUUGUAUUCAUAACAACCUUUGAACAUUAAUUAUAUCAAACUGUUGAACUCGACAGGUAAUAAGCGGCUUUUUAUUCAGGAUGAAAUUACAUUAGUCAUAAUUUAUACACCUUUGAUGUACAUUACUUUAAUCAUAGAAACAUUAUACUGGAUUUAUAUUUGUGUGUCAUGUUUAAUGAAAACAUUUUUUUUUUUGUCUUUGAUUAAUACUUUUGAAGUUUGUGGGUAUUUGGAAAGCCUCUUUCUCUUUGACUUCAAAAGAGACACUUCACACAUAUAGAGGACACAUUUCCAAAUGUUUCAGACAUCUAUUUCAGAUAUAUCAGUUAACGUUUGCCAGGAAGAAACAUUUAAAGGCAACUUCAGCGUGCCACCACAGCAUGAACAAAGAAUGUAUAAUAAAUAUUAAGAUGUUAUUUGAUGAUGAAAAACUUGUUUUUAGAAACACUGCUAUCAUUGAAUCAAACAAAUAUCUUUUGUCUUUUGGAUCUAAAAGGGAAACUGACCCUGUCUCCUUGAAAGGGCUCAAAAAAAUCUCACGUUAGCAAUAAUUAUCAGGGCAGUAUAGAGUGUAGUCAAAGUCGCAAAAUGUAAACCACUUGAAAAGUUUGAUGGUAAAAUGGGGGUGCAAAUCAUUGCCCCCCACAAUUUGGUUGUGUUAGUAGUUUGAGGUUUUUAAACAAUAAUAUAUUCCAAUGAAGGUUUAUUGUGAGCAUUUUAAACAGCUCUUGGUUGUUCCUAAAUGGCUUCCAACAAGGAAGGGCUUCUGUCAAGCAAAAGAAAAAAAAGAAAACACUUUUGUAAAAAAAAAAACAAGUGAAGAAUGGUGUAUGUUAAAACAUCAUUCAGGACUGAGCUUGGUCUACACCAACCUGUGGACGGUUCAAGGAGUAAGUACAGACAGGAUGAACCCUGAGAAUUCUAUCCACAGAGUCCCAUUUGUUUUUUUAUAAAUGCAAAUGCAGAUAUUGUGUUGCCUGCUGAUAAGUCAUUUACUAGAGCUGGUCCUGAUUCUGUGAUUUGAUCUUGAACUGAUGUGCUGGAAUU
RNA transcript from Alosa alosa (allis shad), 3308 nucleotides. It is a transcript of the gene named fibronectin type III domain containing 5a, with no coding region annotated. Lineage: Eukaryota; Metazoa; Chordata; Actinopteri; Clupeiformes; Clupeidae. The record is from RefSeq and is a predicted model, not a curated record. The transcript is spliced from 6 exons.